RNAcentral lists this transfer-messenger RNA (367 nucleotides) under Campylobacterales bacterium. It matches the Rfam family "transfer-messenger RNA". Rfam says of the family: Bacterial tmRNA, also known as 10Sa RNA or SsrA, is named for its dual tRNA and mRNA-like properties. Its role is to liberate the mRNA from a stalled ribosome. The record is from RNAcentral. RNAcentral also lists the same sequence under 1 other name. Lineage: Bacteria; Pseudomonadati; Campylobacterota; Epsilonproteobacteria; Campylobacterales.
GGGGCUGACCAGGUUUCGACGGGAGCAGGUCGCCUACGGUUGCAUGCCGGGCUGAGCAUCCCGUUAUACGGCUCAGAUUGCAUAACUGCAAACAAUACAAAUUAUCGUCCUGCUUACGCUGUAGCGUAAGUUUUAACUUAAUUUAGGACUGCUUCGCCUUCCGACGCAGGAUAGGAAGGAUUUUGAAGUAUCACCCUUCUCUUGCUAUAUGCCGCAGCUGUCUCUCUGCGGCACGAACUUCGAGACUCGCCCGGUCUAGCUUUGCAGGUUGUGUGAAGCCCGGUUAAACCAAACAACCUCUCUAAGCAUGUAGACGCCGCAGGUAGUUUGUUUUCGGACUGGAGUUCGAUUCUCCACAGCUCCACCA